This 89-nucleotide transfer RNA is filed under the name Candidatus Methanoplasma sp. Its description in RNAcentral is "tRNA-Ser". It matches the Rfam family "tRNA". From Rfam's summary of the family: Transfer RNA (tRNA) molecules are approximately 80 nucleotides in length. Their secondary structure includes four short double-helical elements and three loops (D, anti-codon, and T loops). Lineage: Archaea; Methanobacteriati; Thermoplasmatota; Thermoplasmata; Methanomassiliicoccales; Methanomassiliicoccaceae. The record is from RNAcentral.
GCGGAGGUAGCUAAGCCCGGCCCACGGCGCCGGUCUUGAAAACCGGUGGCGUCCUCGCCUCGGGGGUUCGAAUCCCUCCCUCCGCGCCA